Long non-coding RNA from Anguilla anguilla (European eel), 160 nucleotides. RefSeq lists it as uncharacterized. The record is from RefSeq and is a predicted model, not a curated record. The transcript has 2 exons. NCBI's taxonomy places the organism in Eukaryota, Metazoa, Chordata, Actinopteri, Anguilliformes, Anguillidae.
CAGAGACAUGCUGGAUAAGCAGAGGCAAUAACACAUUCUCUCUCUACUCUGAUUUCCAUGUCUCCAGGUUGUCUAGAAGACUGAAGGGAGGGAGGGACGGGGACACAUACGCCAGUCUGCAGCUCCCCAACAUCAGCCCUGACUAUGACGUGCUGCAGGU